RNAcentral lists this ribosomal RNA (722 nucleotides) under uncultured Staphylococcus sp. RNAcentral's name for it is "bacterial SSU rRNA". It matches the Rfam family "Bacterial small subunit ribosomal RNA", at positions 57 to 761 of the family's 1533-position model. Lineage: Bacteria; Bacillati; Bacillota; Bacilli; Caryophanales; Staphylococcaceae. The record is from RNAcentral.
GCAAGUCGAGCGAACGGACGAGAAGCUCGCUUUUCUGAUGUUAGCGGCGGACGGGUGAGUAACACGUGGAUAACCUACCUAUAAGACUGGGAUAACUUCGGGAAACCGGAGCUAAUACCGGAUAAUAUUUUGAACCGCAUGGUUCAAAAGUGAAAGACGGUCUUGCUGUCACUUAUAGAUGGAUCCGCGCUGCAUUAGCUAGUUGGUAAGGUAACGGCUUACCAAGGCAACGAUGCAUAGCCGACCUGAGAGGGUGAUCGGCCACACUGGAACUGAGACACGGUCCAGACUCCUACGGGAGGCAGCAGUAGGGAAUCUUCCGCAACGGGCGAAAGCCUGACGGAGCAACGCCGCGUGAGUGAUGAAGGUCUUCGGAUCGUAAAACUCUGUUAUUAGGGAAGAACAUAUGUGUAAGUAACUGUGCACAUCUUGACGGUACCUAAUCAGAAAGCCACGGCUAACUACGUGCCAGCAGCCGCGGUAAUACGUAGGUGGCAAGCGUUAUCCGGAAUUAUUGGGCGUAAAGCGCGCGUAGGCGGUUUUUUAAGUCUGAUGUGAAAGCCCACGGCUCAACCGUGGAGGGUCAUUGGAAACUGGAAAACUUGAGUGCAGAAGAGGAAAGUGGAAUUCCAUGUGUAGCGGUGAAAUGCGCAGAGAUAUGGAGGAACACCAGUGGCGAAGGCGACUUUCUGGUCUGUAACUGACGCUGAUGUGCGAAAGCG